AGCAGGCUUAGUUAGGAGGCCUAAAUUAUCAUGGAUUUCAGUUCUUUACUAGAGCUGUUAUUUGAAGGUCUGUUUGGUUGGAUUGGUCUGCUCUUUCUUUCGUCAACCUUUCCUACAAACACCCUUAUACAUCU
RNAcentral lists this small nucleolar RNA (134 nucleotides) under Erythranthe guttata (spotted monkey flower). RNAcentral describes it as "Mimulus guttatus (spotted monkey flower) Small nucleolar RNA U19". It matches the Rfam family "Small nucleolar RNA U19". Lineage: Eukaryota; Viridiplantae; Streptophyta; Magnoliopsida; Lamiales; Phrymaceae. The record is from Rfam by way of RNAcentral.